Poecilia latipinna (sailfin molly) is the source of this 3079-nucleotide long non-coding RNA. RefSeq lists it as uncharacterized. Lineage: Eukaryota; Metazoa; Chordata; Actinopteri; Cyprinodontiformes; Poeciliidae. The transcript is spliced from 2 exons. The record is from RefSeq and is a predicted model, not a curated record.
CCUGAAGAGGUCUGUGGAUCAGAUGUUUCACAAUCUGAAAUCUAUGAGGAGAAAGGCUGGCCUCAUCAGGGGUGUGCAGACUUACAGGUGAUCAAACUUUAGCUGUGUCCUUAUCCGUUUCGUAAGAAGCCGUGCGCGCGCACAUCCUGACUCCUCCUCGACAGUGGUCCUGAUGCUAGUUCUCGGGGACGCGCAUUACGUCACCUCUCGCUGCGUGGGUCACCUCGCUGCCCGCAUCCAGCGCCAGGCUCUGCAUCCUGUAAGGCCCGUCCUGCCACCACCAUCAUCUUUAUCAUCCUCCUCAUCUUCACCACAGCGGCUCAUCCUCCCUUUUUCUUACGGAAACAGUUCGCGUACGCGAGCGCGUGUUGUCCACCUUGCGCUGGCGGAGAGUUGCGAUAAUGGCCGAAAGCGAGGCAGACACGCCGAGCACACCGAUCGAGUUUGAGAGUAAAUACUUCGAGUUUGACGGAGUGCGGCUGCCGCCCUUCUGCAGAGGGAAGAUGGAGGACAUCUCUAACUUCUCCCUGAGAAGUAGCGACAUAUGGAUCGUCACCUACCCGAAAUCAGGCACAGAACCUGGAUGCUGACCCUCAGCUAUAAAGAAGCCAUCCCUUCUUGGAGGCAUGAACUCUAAUGAAUGUUUUCCUGUGAUGUAUGCAAUGUUCCAGUUCGAUGCUAUGAAGCUAACCAGAAAUCCCCUGCGCCGUAAACAACCAUUCUCCACUAUGAAGUCCUGAUCUAAGUGAGGCGGGUGUUGAUGUUGUCAAUAUUUGGAAGUGUGGCCAGCACAGACUGAAUGGCUUCGUUCACUUCCUCCUCUGCCAUUACUAAAACUACAGUUAGACUAUAAUUCUAAAACAGAGCAGAAAAUCAACGUCAUCAUUCACAACUUCUCCUUCUGUUCACUGAUUAGCCCGGUCAAAUAUCAACUAGAGAGAAUCUGAGUCAAUGGGAGAAAGCCCAGACUGUGUUAGAAGUCAGAUUGUUUUCAAGAGGAGUUGCACAGGAUUGCAAUGGCCACGCUAAGUAAUUACCAAUAUGAACAUUUUUGCAUGAAAGUUGACAUUGAUUCUGACUCAAACUUUGAAUUAAUGCUUUUGGUCUAAUCCUGUAUUUAUGCCAGGUCUACUGAAUAAAGGAUCAACAAUGAAGAAAUAUUCCCAGUGUUCUGUUAUGCAAGCCAAGGGAGACAGAGAGUUCAAAGAAAUAACAUCCAAGCUGUUUUUCUCAGUCUCAGAUGUUUGUGGCAUUUAUUUAGGUCUCCAGGGCAAAAGUAGAGGGCAGAUCAUUCUGAGAAGAGAUUUCAAAAACACAAGUUUCAUAAGUGUGACAUGUGUGGGUUAUAGUUCAAGACAUGUGCUUGAACAGAACUUGUUGACCUCAGCAGCUUUUCCACUGUUUUCCAUUCAUUCUGUUAUAGUUAUGUGAUAACCUUAUUUAACCAAGCUCCAUGUUUCAUGGUUUUGUGUCACUUUGUGCAUCAGUUGUACAAGAUUGAGUGAGCCUGUCUCUCAUCUUGACCUGAGAUAAGUAAUGAACACAUGACCAGCCCCGUGUUUGGGACUCUGCAGAGCUUUCUGAUGCCAGCAGCUCACUUGUGACUGUCUUAGCCAUUAGUAAUACCAAUAUUUUAUAACCAGAAGAAGAGAGAGAGUACUGUUGGUUUACCCUAUGAGAGCAGACGGGAAGAAACACACAUGCACGCACGCACACACACACUGUUACGACCCAGCUCAGCCAGGGUAAAGGGAAGUAACAUUAAAUAAACCUAGAUGUUAAGGUUCAACAAUUUAGAGAUUUAUUGUUUGGGUUUCCAACAAAAAAAGAAGGAAAAGAAAAAAAAAGAGUAACAAUAAUCAAAAGGGUAAAACUUGCAGCCAAUACGUACUAAAUAAACAAAAUUCACAAACUAUCAGAGCUGUGAGACAAAACUUAAUCACACUUUACGUCCAGAUUAAACAAACAAAAUAAGCUACAAGUCUGGUGUAGCGUUACAAAUCCCCACAGGGUAAAAACUGUUGAAGCAGUCAAAAGUUAAAGCCAAAGUAGACCACAACUUUCUAGUAGCAGUACAACCCCCCCCCCCACAGGAUCAAACCUAUCACAAUUUAUAGAAAAGCUCACAAAAUACAACCAGUUCACAGCAACCCCACACACACCCAACAAAGUGGCAAGCUGUCUCAACAAAGAAACUAAGCGGGCCUUCUCCUUGGAAGUCCUUGGUUUUAAAAGUGAGGCCUCAACAGCAAUUGGUGGAGCCGGCAAUUGAUGACCCAAUCACAGUAGGCCUCAGGGUGUGGCACAGGACAACAGGGCAACACCCACUUCCAGGUGAAGUCAGUCUGAUUAGCCACUGCCAAAGAAAAAAAAAACAAACAGAAAAGGCCACUGUCCUUAACACACACACACCUUUGUUGUGGAAUAGCAAAAUAACAUGACUCGCAUGCAAUAUGCUGACACGCUGUGCUAUAAAAAAUAUUUGCCCCAUUUCUUGUUUUCAUUGUUGUUUCACCCAAAGGCUUCAGAUUAUUGACCCUAUUUUGAUACUAGGCAAAUAUUGAUUUUUGGAAGUGAAGUUCACUUUUGCCAUCCCAGCCAGGUCUUCUUACAUCCAGCCCUGUAGAUUCAAGGAAUCACUUAAAUAGAACAGCUCUGAUAACUGAAGUGGGCUGUGUCAAAAAUCAAACCAUCAUGCUCUGAUCUGAACUAAUUCAAGAUACAUGAAAGCUAACUGGCAUGUAUCAGUCUAAAAAUAGUUACAAAGUAAUUGCUAAGGUUUUGAGACUCCAGAGAAACACGGUAACAAAAGAAGCACAACAAGAUUUAAAGCUCUGCAGGCCUUCUGAUGUUUAUGGUUCAUCAAUCAGAAAGAGGCUGGACUGCUAACCAAAGCCUUUUUCUUAAUCUCUCUCUUUUUAAACAGAAUCAACUAAAAAGGCAUUAUUGCCUAUGCAUUAGAUCAUAAUAAAGUUUACAGUGGACCCUUCCUUUUCACCCUGUGAGGGUUCUCACAUUAACCAGCCAGAGAGACGCUGAGUGGAAUUCAAAAAUAAUCUUAAUUUAUUACAAAAAAGUU